AAACCGUUGUGAGUUGCCUCUGGGUUGUCAACAUGUCGCGUCCAAACAAUUCAACCACCUCGAUGGGACUAUACUGACUUGACCCGACGGCCACCAUAAACGUCCACAAAUUCCAAAGUUUGGCCAUCAGUUAUCAAUUCAUUUAGUUCUUCUGUACAGCUACCAGCAAUCAUCUUCGCGCUACUAAUACUGCUCUGUCGCGCCUGUUAGCCUAGCCUCUUUAAGCGUUGU
This 231-nucleotide long non-coding RNA is filed under the name Volvox carteri. RNAcentral's name for it is "long non-coding RNA (VCAR_LNC001255)". Lineage: Eukaryota; Viridiplantae; Chlorophyta; Chlorophyceae; Chlamydomonadales; Volvocaceae. The record is from RNAcentral.